GAUGAACGCUGGCGGCGUGCUUAACACAUGCAAGUCGAACGAUGAAGCCCAGCUUGCUGGGUGGAUUAGUGGCGAACGGGUGAGUAACACGUGAGUAACCUGCCCUUAACUCUGGGAUAAGCCUGGGAAACUGGGUCUAAUACCGGAUAGGAGCGUCCACCGCAUGGUGGGUGUAGGAAAGAUUUAUCGGUUUUGGAUGGACUCGCGGCCUAUCAGCUUGUUGGUGAGGUAAUGGCUCACCAAGGCGACGACGGGUAGCCGGCCUGAGAGGGUGACCGGCCACACUGGGACUGAGACACGGCCCAGACUCCUACGGGAGGCAGCAGUGGGGAAUAUUGCACAAUGGGCGCAAGCCUGAUGCAGCGACGCCGCGUGAGGGAUGACGGCCUUCGGGUUGUAAACCUCUUUCAGUAGGGAAGAAGCGAAAGUGACGGUACCUGCAGAAGAAGCACCGGCUAACUACGUG
Molecule: ribosomal RNA, 466 nt
Filed under: uncultured bacterium
Lineage: Bacteria
Description: partial 16S ribosomal RNA
Rfam family: Bacterial small subunit ribosomal RNA
Source: RNAcentral